Lactuca sativa (garden lettuce) is the source of this 1184-nucleotide long non-coding RNA. RefSeq lists it as uncharacterized. The record is from RefSeq and is a predicted model, not a curated record. Lineage: Eukaryota; Viridiplantae; Streptophyta; Magnoliopsida; Asterales; Asteraceae.
CCUUCUCCCAUCGAUCCGUCGCCAUCAAUCCACCUCUGAUGUAUCUUUGAUCUUCGGCCACAAUCUUCAAGUCGAACUUCAUCCUCUACCUUCUUCAAACUUUGUACAUUCCAUUUUAAUGGUAAGAAUUGAAAUUAUCUCAUAAAUUAAUUGGCAACGACGGUCUUCUCCCCUCUUUCUUCUUAGGUCGUUCCAUCUCUUAAGAUUAAUAUUCUUUGGUUUAUGUAUAUAAGUAACCAACGAUUGUGUUUUUCUUGAUCUUGAAUUAGUAAUAAGUAGGUCGAUCUCUCCUGUUGUUGUGUCAACAUUUAUAAUCGGUAUUCAUGCAUCUGUUUUGUUCAUCCUCUUAACUUGUUCUACCUUACUUACUCUCUCCCAAGCCGUUCUCUCACGUUCCGCCAUCCCCCGCGAUGGCAACAACUAUGUACCAUUGUUAAAGGAACAAAUUCAUUUGAUUUUCACUUUUAUGGAAGCUCGGUUACGUCCUAGGUGUUGUGACUUCAAGGUAUGGGUUAAAGGUCUUUCUUCAUCCCACUUUCAUAAUUAGUAAGAGUAAUAUGACUCAACAAAGAGGGAAAGCUAGUGUUUCUUACUAAAGCUUUCACCCAUUAAAUUUAUAUUUACAGGAGUUAAGUUCUUCCCUAUCAUCCCAUUUCAUUUUCACAUAUAUCAUAUAAUAUAUCAAUGUUAGGUCCUAUGGUAGCUUUCAUAUCCAAUAAAUACGUCAUAAAUGCAUGUAGUGUUUCUUACUAAAGCUUUCACCCAUUAAAUUUUUAUUUUUUACAUACGUUUGUUUGUUAUUCAUAGAUUAAGUGUUGGAAUGGUAUUCUAAGUGGUUAAGUUCUGUUCGAAUGGGUUGUGAUGCUUAGUUUGUGUUUGUGCUUCAUCAGUAAGAUCGUUUCUUGUGCCUAUUCAGAUUAUUCCUACCUCGUUAAUAUCAGGACCACUCAGAACGUAGCAAUGUUUCUUGGAACAACAAUGAUGGACAAAAAUUAAGAGACAAUUUCAUGACAAUUGUGAUUCACCAUACCAAUAAUGAGAAUUAAGAUUCUUUCAAGAAUGACUUACUAUAAGAUAUUGUAUUCUUACGGAAUGAAGAUUCUUUCAAAAUGGCUUAAUAUAAAACACUAUAUGCUUGUAGAAUGGGACAAAUAUUCCAAGAAUGGCAUUCUAAUUUUAUAAAA